Photinus pyralis (common eastern firefly) is the source of this 378-nucleotide long non-coding RNA. RefSeq lists it as uncharacterized. Lineage: Eukaryota; Metazoa; Arthropoda; Insecta; Coleoptera; Lampyridae. The record is from RefSeq and is a predicted model, not a curated record. The transcript is spliced from 3 exons.
AAAAAGUUGUACGUGUAUUGUUUUUACAAUCGGUUCAUUUAUAACACGGUAGACCAUAAUGGGUGGUACUGCGAACUGGGCGCCUUCGUGAGUUCACGCUCGACGGCUUACCCCGGAACGACUGAAGAACUGUCUUUGUCUUUGGACCGCGCACUUUACUCUCUGUACGCCCUAAAAUGGUGUUAAUUAGAUAAAUAGGAUAUCUUUAAAGGAUCCGGUCCUCGAAAAAAUUCUACGAUCACAAUUCCCCAAUCUGAUGAUCGCUAGCGAGCUUACCUUAUGAAGACUAGGAAAUAUAAUCAUAUCGCUCAAUUAAAAUUGAUGUAAUUCAAGCUGCACACCCGAAAUCUUGACGCUUCAGGUAAUUAAGGAACAGAU